This 253-nucleotide ribosomal RNA is filed under the name uncultured bacterium. Its description in RNAcentral is "partial 16S ribosomal RNA". It matches the Rfam family "Bacterial small subunit ribosomal RNA", at positions 524 to 776 of the family's 1533-position model. The record is from RNAcentral.
UACAGAGGUCUCAAGCGUUGUUCGGAUUCAUUGGGCGUAAAGGGCGCGUAGGCGGCCAUCUAAGUCAGACGUGAAAUCCCCCGGCUUAACCUGGGAACUGCGUCUGAUACUGGAAGGCUUGAGUAUGGGAGAGGGAUGUAGAAUUCCAGGUGUAGCGGUGAAAUGCGUAGAUAUCUGGAGGAAUACCGGUGGCGAAGGCGGCAUCCUGGACCAUUACUGACGCUGAGGCGCGAAAGCUAGGGGAGCAAACGGG